Long non-coding RNA from Alosa alosa (allis shad), 366 nucleotides. RefSeq lists it as uncharacterized. The record is from RefSeq and is a predicted model, not a curated record. The transcript has 3 exons. Lineage: Eukaryota; Metazoa; Chordata; Actinopteri; Clupeiformes; Clupeidae.
AACUAUGAUGCAAUUAAUAAAACAGUAAAGAGUAAACAGUAAAGUCUGAGAGCAGCAAGAGAAAAGGACCUGCGUUGAAGAAACCUGUCACUGAAGGAGGACAGCCCACUAGGCGGAGCCCAAGAGAGAGCAGCUUCAAGUUACCAAGAUCGCUGAAGGACCAUCAUGCCCUUCGUUCAUUUACAUGUACAUGGAUAAGAAGUCCAUCCAUUGUGCUGAUGCAAGUAGUUUUGAAAACGGCUGAAAAAUGUUGUGCUGGACAAACCAGAGAAAAUGCAGAGAGUGAGGAUGGCACUCUGAAUCUACAGGGGAUGGAUCCUGAGGCCAUACCUUACCAUGGCCUUAAAAGCAUAAUUUCCUCACUUG